Molecule: long non-coding RNA, 986 nt
Organism: Homo sapiens (human)
Lineage: Eukaryota; Metazoa; Chordata; Mammalia; Primates; Hominidae
Exons: 5
Source: RefSeq, a predicted model, not a curated record
CUUCCUGCGACUGCAGAGAUGAAGGGAAUGAAGGUUAGCUCAUGAAUGGUAUGGGGCUGGUGUUUUGGAGUAUACUGGGGGUGGCAGCAGGGGCAACUAUUUGGGAGUUAAAAGGUCCUGGCGCUGGAUAUAGAGAUGGAUUGUGGCAAAGGACUACUAUGAGAAAAUAGAAAAGGAGGCAAGCUGUAAUUGUGUUUAUCAAUCCUUUUGAAUUUUGAAACUUCAAUUUCCACAAAAGAGCUGAUGGAUGGAUGUCAAGAAAAAUGUCGCUGGGGACUUAUUCCUUGUUGGAGUAAUUAACACACUGUUUGACCUCUGGUAACUAAAACUGCAGAAGGCAAAACUGGAUAAGGAGACUACUGUAAUGAUUAUGCUAUUACAAGACGCUCGAUUGCUAACAUCAGACAUUUUUAUAAAAGGAAGUGAAGCUAUGAGAUCCACAAUGUGAAUGUCACCCAACCAGAGGUGUUACUUUGUGCCAUGUACAACAUACACAACCAUAGGCCAGAAUCCUGCUAGGACAUCUCUGCCUGUGGAAGGAGGGCUGGAUGGCAUACUGGGAAUGGCUUUCUAGGAUGACUUCCUGUUGCUACAGACUACAAGAAGCAUUUCUGGCCUUGAUGUUGUCUGAAUGAAGAAGACAUAGGAGUUUCACCAAAGUAUAGCUCCCUGAAACCAGAUGGAUCAUGGCAGAUGAUAGUGGCUACUCUAAACUUGACCAAGUAGCUUCCACAAUUGAAGUCCCAAGCUGGAGCCUACAGGAAUGAGGAAGCAGGAAGGGCCAGAGUGAAGUGGAAACUUUGAACUUGAAGUUGGAAGACACUGGUACUCAUCUCUUCUAUUUGCUAGCUGUAUGAUCUUGGGCAACUUAUUUAAUUUAUCUUCCUCCAGUUUACUCAUUGAUUAAAUGAAGGUAACAAUUUUAUCUCAUAGGGAUAUGGGGAUGAUCGAGAGAGAUAAUAAAAGUGAAAGUGUUUUGAAAAGCA